Molecule: long non-coding RNA, 1398 nt
Organism: Oncorhynchus gorbuscha (pink salmon)
Lineage: Eukaryota; Metazoa; Chordata; Actinopteri; Salmoniformes; Salmonidae
Exons: 3
Source: RefSeq, a predicted model, not a curated record
CUCUCUCUCUCUCUCUCUCUCUCUCUCUCUUUCUCUCUUUCUCUCUCUCUCUCUCACCCCCCCUCUCCCUCUUAGUCACUCAUUAUCUGUCUUGACAGAGACUGGAUGGAACAUCACACCGCACACUCGGAAUGACUACCGUCAGGCGGAAAUGGAGAUGAAGAAAUGGGAGAGAGAACCGAGUUUGAGGAGGACGGCAGCUGGCCAUGGCCAUACAGAGGGCUCUGAUGACGUCCCAACCCCUUACAGUGAUGUCAUGUGACAGGAAGAGGAAGUGAGGUCGUCUUGGAUUCACCCACCGUCGUCACCACCCAGGACAGCAACUAAGUCCGCAGAAUGAUUCUAGAGCCCUGCUGUACCGCCCUGUGUUUACUGUCUCCAUCUAACUGAAAACAUGGUACAUACAUGUGUUUACUGUCUCCGUCUAACUGAAAACAUGGUACAUACAUGUGUUUACUGUCACUGUCUAACUGAAAACAUGGUACAUGCAUGUGUUUUACUGUCUCCAUCUAACUGAAAACAUGGUACAUACAUGUGUUUACUGUCACUGUCUAACUGAAAACAUGGUACAUACAUGUGUUUACUGUCACUGUCUAACUGAAAACAUGGUACAUACAUGUGUUUUACUGUCUCCAUCUAACUGAAAACAUGGUACAUACAUGUGUUUACUGUCACUGUCUAACUGAAAACAUGGUACAUGCAUGUGUUUACUGUCUCCAUCUAACUGAAAACAUGGUACAUACAUGUGUUUACUGUCUCCAUCUAACUGAAAACAUGGUACAUACAUGUGUUUACUAUCUCCGUCUAACUGAAAACAUGGUACAUACAUGUGUUUACUGUCUCCAUCUAACUGAAAACAUGGUACAUACAUGUGUUUACCGUCUCCACCUCUAUAUCUAUCCCUGUCUGUCCAUUUCAUUUAAAGCAUGCCAGUCUUUAUGUACCAAAGAUGUUUUCAUCACAGUCUUGAUCUUGAACACAAUAUGCGUCACACCCUAGUAGCCAAACCACAAAUAUCUCUCCCUACACUUUCCACCUCUCUCUCUUGCCUAGCCUCGUUUUUCACACACAGAGACAUUCACAUGCACACACACACACACACACACACACACGCACGCACGCACGCACGCACACACACACACACACACGCACGCACGCGCACGCGCACGCACGCACGCACGCACACACACACACACAAACUCACCUUCUGAGUUUCCACUGCACAGGUACAUCCUCCUGCCAACCAGGUAGGGAUUAGAAAAUAUAAUUUAUGCCUUUCUGAAAUGUGGCCUCUCUUGGCUCUCUGACAGGAAGGUUGCCUCUGCCAUUUUCUAUUUCCCCUUUUAACAUUGUGCAUACCAACAAUAUUAUCUCCCAAAUAAAUUCAAAUGAGAGGGG